This 492-nucleotide ribosomal RNA is filed under the name uncultured bacterium. RNAcentral's name for it is "partial 16S ribosomal RNA". It matches the Rfam family "Bacterial small subunit ribosomal RNA", at positions 29 to 507 of the family's 1533-position model. The record is from RNAcentral.
AGUGAACGCUGGCGGUAGGCCUAACACAUGCAAGUCGAACGGCAGCACAGUAAGAGCUUGCUCUUACGGGUGGCGAGUGGCGGACGGGUGAGGAAUACAUCGGAAUCUACUUUUUCGUGGGGGAUAACGUAGGGAAACUUACGCUAAUACCGCAUACGACCUACGGGUGAAAGCAGGGGAUCUUCGGACCUUGCGCGAUUGAAUGAGCCGAUGUCGGAUUAGCUAGUUGGCGGGGUAAAGGCCCACCAAGGCGAAGAUCCGUAGCUGGUCUGAGAGGAUGAUCAGCCACACUGGAACUGAGACACGGUCCAGACUCCUACGGGAGGCAGCAGUGGGGAAUAUUGGACAAUGGGGGCAAGCCUGAUCCAGCCAUACCGCGUGGGUGAAGAAGGCCUUCGGGUUGUAAAGCCCUUUUGUUGGGAAAGAAAAGCAGCAGGUUAAUACCCCGCUGUUCUGACGGUACCCAAAGAAUAAGCACCGGCUAACUUCGUG